RNAcentral lists this long non-coding RNA (247 nucleotides) under Lathyrus oleraceus (garden pea). RNAcentral's name for it is "Pisum sativum (pea) long non-coding RNA (PSAT_LNC021161)". Lineage: Eukaryota; Viridiplantae; Streptophyta; Magnoliopsida; Fabales; Fabaceae. The record is from RNAcentral.
GUGUAUUGUAUAAUGAUGAUGAAUGAUGUUGGUUUUUGAAAGCUUUUAGUUUUUUAAAAUGUCGAUGUGACGCCCUUUUGUUUAUAUGCGUGCUUCUUUACUCUGAUUAUAUGUUAAGUAUUUUGGGGGUAGAAAAAGGGGUGUUACAGGCCACAUACACUUAAGUGGGCUUUUUAGCUUGCAGCCCAUACUAGUGGUUCUAUAAAUAGAAUCCUUGUGCAGAAGCAUUGGUGUAGUUGUAAUUUCG